AUUGAACGCUGGCGGAAUGCUUUACACAUGCGAGUCGAACGGCAGCACGGGGGCAACCCUGGUGGCGAGUGGCGAACGGGUGAGUAAUACAUCGGAACGUGCCCAGUCGUGGGGGAUAACGUAGCGAAAGUUACGCUAAUACCGCAUACGAUCUAUGGAUGAAAGCGGGGGACCGUAAGGCCUCGCGCGAUUGGAGCGGCCGAUGUCAGAUUAGGUAGUUGGGGGGGUAAAGGCCCACCAAGCCGACGAUCUGUAGCUGGUCUGAGAGGACGACCAGCCACACUGGGACUGAGACACGGCCCAGACUCCUACGGGAGGCAGCAGUGGGGAAUUUUGGACAAUGGGCGCAAGCCUGAUCCAGCCAUUCCGCGUGCAGGACGAAGGCCUUCGGGUUGUAAACUGCUUUUGUACGGAACGAAAAGGUCCUGGUUAAUACCCGGGGCUCAUGACGGUACCGUAAGAAUAAGCACCGGCUAACUACGUGCCAGCAGCCGCGGUAA
RNAcentral lists this ribosomal RNA (500 nucleotides) under uncultured bacterium. RNAcentral describes it as "partial 16S ribosomal RNA". It matches the Rfam family "Bacterial small subunit ribosomal RNA", at positions 29 to 523 of the family's 1533-position model. The record is from RNAcentral.